UCGACUCAGUGCAAUAAACAA
RNAcentral lists this non-coding RNA (21 nucleotides) under Caenorhabditis elegans. The record is from RNAcentral. Lineage: Eukaryota; Metazoa; Nematoda; Chromadorea; Rhabditida; Rhabditidae.